GGAUUUCUUUCUUUCUUUCUUUCUUUCUUUCUUUCUUUCUUUUUUUUUUUUUUUUUUUUUUUUUUGGUUUUUUGGUAUUUCGAGACAGGGUUUCUUUGUAUAACCCUGGCUGUCCUGGAACUCACUCUUUAGACCAGGCUGGCCUCGAACUCAGAAAUCCUCCUGACUCUGCCUCCCGAGUGCUGGGAUUAAAGGCAUGCGCCACCACACCCGGCUGCAAGCUGGAUUUCAAACAAUCAAUGUGGGAAGAAGUUUGGUUAAUGGUUAUUCCAGGAGAUAGAGCUAAAGCUAGCUGCUGCCACAGAUUGCUUAUUCCAGUUCUGGGAGCCUGGGUAAGGCGGGGUCCUGUGGACAGAUGUGCCACACCUAGAGGGUAGCAAUGAUCAACAGCCUCAUUGUUCCCUCAGCCCCAGGGCAUACAAGAGGUGGUCCCAUUUGUAUUCAAUUUGUAUUUAUGUUGCUUUCCAGCAGAGGCAAGGGUUGGGCUGGGAGCGGCUCCAGCAGGAGCCUGGCCCUCUGUCUCUGAAGGUGGCCACGGACAAUCCCAGCAAGGAGUCCUCAGCCUCUGUGUAGAAAAAUCAGACGAGGUUUGUGGAGCAAUGGGCAACACUCUUCCUGGACAGACAAGUUUUAUGGGCUCAGAAGCUUUAAAAUCACAGAGCACCCUCUUCUAGAAACAGGUGCCCUCCUCUCUAAUGAGUUUAGCUUGUGUCAGGUAGACAUAAACUAUCCAGCACACCAUGUUUUGCUAUAUUUAAAACAAAAACCAAAAAACACAACAGACAGUUGUGGCUCAUGCCUUUAACCCAACACUCGGGAGGCAGAGCCAGAUGGAUCUCUGAGUUUGAGGCCAAGCCUGGUCUAAGGAGUGAGUUCCAGAGCAUUCAAGGCUACACAGAGAACCCCUGUCUCAAAAACCAAAACAACAACAAAAAGGUAACCCACUACUUGUGGCUGGUGAGGUCAUUUCAAAACCAACAAAAGUUCUAACAGAAUUCUAAACACUUAGCCAUACCCAAAGAUAAAUGUAGCUCUUACCCCUCCCCUCGCCAAAGAAGCUUCUUUUUGCAGCAUCGUGGAAAGCCACAGCUGGUCAAAAUGUAGAGAACUGACCGUGGGGUGCCCAGACCCCGUUGAUAAAUCGAAAACACAACCCUGACACCUAAGGCUCAGGAACUAUCACAAAAGAGAGUGUGGAAAGACUGGAAGAGGCAGAAGACCUGGGCAGGAAAUGGGUGGUUGUCUGCUUCAAGGUAGUCUUUUAUGUUCGACAGUGGAGCAUUACCUAGAAAUAUCUCAACAAUAUCCUUGCCUAAACAAGACUUAAAAAAAAAUACCACCACCUAUUGACAGGCCGACCUGGAUGGGUGUGGUAGUUUGAAUAGGCUAGGCCCCCAUAGAUUCAUCUGCUUGGAUGCUUGACCAUACAGAGUGGCACUAUUAGGACAUGUGGCCUUAUUGGAGUAUGAGUGGCCUUGUUGGGGGAAGAGUGUCACUGUAUAGGUGGGUUUUGAGGCUUCCAAUGCUUAUCCCCUUCUGCUGCCUUUGGAUCAAGAUGUAGAACUCUAGGCUUCUUCAGCGCCAUGUUUGCCUGCCUGCUGCCAUGCUUCCUGCCAUGAUGAUAAUGGUCUGUAUCUCUGAAACUGUAAGCCAGCCCCAAUUAAAUGUCCUUUGU
RNAcentral lists this long non-coding RNA (1675 nucleotides) under Mus musculus (house mouse). RNAcentral's name for it is "predicted gene 10134". Lineage: Eukaryota; Metazoa; Chordata; Mammalia; Rodentia; Muridae. The record is from RNAcentral.